GACGAACGCUGGCGGCGUGCUUAACACAUGCAAGUCGAACGGAAAGGCCCUGCUUUUGUGGGGUGCUCGAGUGGCGAACGGGUGAGUAACACGUGAGUAACCUGCCCUUGACUUUGGGAUAACUUCAGGAAACUGGGGCUAAUACCGGAUAGGAGCUCCUGCUGCAUUGUGGGGGUUGGAAAGUUUCGGCGGUUGGGGAUGGACUCGCGGCUGACCAGCUUGUUGGUGGGGUAGUGGCUUACCAAGGCUUUGACGGGUCGCCGGCCUGGGAGGGUGACCGGCCUCAUUGGGACUGAGAGACGGCGCAGACGCCAACGGGAGGCAACGGUGGGAAAUAUGACACAAUGAGAGGGAGCCUGAUGCAGCAACGCCGCGUGCGGGAUGACGGCCUUCGGGUUGUGAACCGCAUUCGCCUGUGACGAAGCGUGAGUGACGGUAAUGGGUAAAGAAGCACCGGCUAACUACGUG
This 468-nucleotide ribosomal RNA is filed under the name uncultured bacterium. Its description in RNAcentral is "partial 16S ribosomal RNA". It matches the Rfam family "Bacterial small subunit ribosomal RNA", at positions 28 to 507 of the family's 1533-position model. The record is from RNAcentral.